Molecule: ribosomal RNA, 253 nt
Filed under: uncultured bacterium
Lineage: Bacteria
Description: partial 16S ribosomal RNA
Rfam family: Bacterial small subunit ribosomal RNA
Source: RNAcentral
UACGUAGGAGACUAGCGUUGUCCGGAAUUACUGGGUGUAAAGCGCGUGUAGGCGGCAUACCAAGUCUGUUGUGAAAUCGCCCGGCUCAACUGGGCUGGGUCAAUGGAAACUGGUAAGCUGGAGGACGGUAGAGGCGAGUGGAAUUCCCGGUGUAGUGGUGAAAUGCGUAGAUAUCGGGAGGAACACCUGUGGCGAAGGCGGCUCGCUGGGCCGAUCCUGACGCUGAGACGCGAAGGCGUGGGGAGCGAACGGG